Molecule: long non-coding RNA, 2866 nt
Filed under: Canis lupus familiaris (dog)
Lineage: Eukaryota; Metazoa; Chordata; Mammalia; Carnivora; Canidae
Description: lncRNA (ENSCAFG00000058440.1)
Source: RNAcentral
GCCCAUACACCUAUUUUAUUCAUAAAUUAUACAUAUAUAAAUGUACUAUAAAUGUAUAUUUUGUAUGUAUAAAACCUAUACACCUAUUUUAUUCAUAAAUUAUACAUAUAUAGAUAUACUGUAAAUGUAUAUUUUGUAUGUAUAAAACCUAUACACAAGUGGACAUUUUUAAAACAAAAUGUUUCUAAAUAUGAAAGUUUUAAUAAUUUCUUCUUUCACCUCCUGUCACUUUGAGGUCAGCUGUCAAAAACAGUUGGAAAAUUGGUAUACUCCCGCCUAGGUACAAUACAGUUUCCUCUGCCAGUCACACUAACAAAUACCACAUGUGUGUAGGGAUUAUUUUGCAAGGUUGUUUUAAAGUCAGGCAAACAGCCUUCAGGGGGAAAAGGUCACCUUCCCAUGUCUAAAAUUAGAUUCCACCUUGGCAAAGGAAGGAAAAGAGUACACAUCUGUUCCUAUUCCUUGGGGGAGGCCCUGAUGGUGAAAAAGAUGUUUCAUUAAGGACCUCUGGUUUGUUCAGGAGUAGUUGAAAAAUGGUCCUCAACAGAAAGCAGCUCUUAGUGUAUGGGGAGGAAAGGCUGCCUUGUGGCAGGAUCUCAGGUGUGUAUGUUGGGCCAUUAUCGUCCUGCCUCGCCCUGAGCAGCCUCUGACCUUCUGCUAAAGCCCCACACAGCCGACUGUCCUCAGGACCCCCGUUGCCACCCGGGGAUCCCCAUGCAGCCCGGGAUCUCUGUCCCGAUUCCUCAGCUGUCACCCCUAAGAGCCCCUUCACGUCCCUGGCAUGGCGUGUGGGGCCAGAGCCACAGAAGGGGGCCUGGGCUUUGCCUCCAGGAGCUUGCAGCCCCAGCGGGGAGGCACACAAAUAAGCUGCCAUGGGAUCGAUGCUGCCCGGAAGGAUGUUCGGAUCCAGCGUGCACCUGGGAGACGUGCAUGCAGCCUUGGCCGGCGCAGGACCCAGGCAAGAGCCACCGUACGCUGAGGGGAGACCAAGGACCCAGGCUAGAGCCACCGUACGUUGAGGGGAGGCCAAGAAAGGAAAAGAAGACAAUUUCACCCAGAAUGCGGCGAAAGGCUGGCCGCCACUUGGUCCCCGGGCAGAGCAAGCCCAGGACGCUGCUGUGUCCCCAGGCUGCUGCUUGCAGAAGACGGAGCUGCGGACGGGCCGCGUGUGGCCGAGGAGGGAGAGGCCGGCUCGCUCGCUUUGUUUCUCCGAGGUGCUGUCUCUGGUGUCGUGCAUCCAAUUAUGGUGAAAGAUUGGGGAGGAGCCCGUGAAAAAAAUUAAAAGGCUGGAAGGAACAAUAUUUAAAGUGAAGCCACAGCUGCGCCUCAUGUUUUUUUUAAAAGGUGAAUGGAAAUGACUGCUUGAGAUAAACUGCAAUAAACAGGAAGACAGAAUGCCAGCUGCCAUUCCAGACAAGAGCUCUGCCCUCCCCACACAAUUAGGAGGAAAAGCAGCCGUCGACCUCCAUUAACCCUCACGUCUUCCUGCCUGGAAGGGCUGGAUACGCUUGAAGAACCCUGUGGAGCUCCUGAACCCUGGAGCCUAGCCUCACCUCGGCCACCUGGGGACGAUCGUGCAGCUUUCUGGGCCACCGUCUCCUUUUCUUUCAAGGGAGGAAUUGGCCUGGUUGGUCUCAGAUGCUAUAAAUAUAAAAAUAUUAAAGCCUCUUGGCUCCUGGUUCAGAGUCCAGGUUUCCAUCCUGUCACCCUGUUAGCACACCUCCAUUGGCCAGCCUGGUCAGGGAUGGGCUGUUGCAGGUUAGCUGGAUUUUCUAGAUAAACAGUACGUGAGUUACCUAUCCGGGGUGGGGGUGGGGGUAUUUUUUUUGAGAGAGAGAGAAUUCUUAUAUAUGAGAUGUAAUUCACAUAUCAUAAAAUUUGCCAUUCCAUACUGUACAUUUUGAUGGUUUUUAGUAUAUCCCUAAGUUUAUGCAAACCCCUGCUAAUCCCAGAACAUUGUCAUCACCCCCAGAAAGAAGCCCUGUACUCAUUAGCAGUUACGCCUAGUUACCCCCUUCCCCCACAACCAUUAAUCUACUUUCUUUCUUCAUAGAUUUGCCUGUUCUGGACAUUUCUGGCUCUUUUACCCUUUUCUGUACUCUUUUCACAAGCUUAUCCCACCCCUCCCUUUAAUGUUAACAACAGCUACCAUUGAAUAAGUUUCUGUCUGGGCCAGGCACUGCGCCAGGCCCUUUCUAUACAGUAUUUCAUUUAAUCCUUAAAACAACUUAUAAGAUAGGUAUUAGUAUCCCCCCCCCCCACCUUUUCUUUUCAGAAAAAGAAACUGAGGCUUAAAGUGUUUCUGUAAUUUGCACUAGUAAGCAUCAGAGUCAAGAUGUUAACUUGGGUCUUCUUGACACCAAAUGCCCUGAAGUCCCUGCCUCCUUCCUGGUCAUGCCUGUGUCUGGCUCGCCCGGAUCCUAAGUCCACCCUGAUGUGGGAAAUUGAGGACAUCAGCUUCCUGGAAGUUGACGGAGGUUGCACUGUUUCAUAACCAUGCAGUAGGUCUUUUGAACCGUUGUGUUCUCACUGUGAUACUGAAUGACAGUGCUGGUUUUAAAGACUUCUAAAAUGUCACCUGUUAGAAAGAGUUCCCAGACAACACUGCCCUGUGUUAAAAAGUAGUCUCUGUAGCCAAUCACAUGAGAACCAGAAAAAGCUCAAGAUGCUUCCAGCAGGGGCGCCUGAGUGUCUCCGUCAGUUAAGUGUCUGCCUUCUGCUCAGGUCAUCAUCCCAGGGUCCUGGGAUCGAGCCCCAGUUGGUCCCUGCUCAGCAGGGAGUCUAUUUCUUUCCUUCUCCCUUUGCCCCUCACACGCACACUGUCUCAAAUAAAUGUCUCAAAUAAAUGAAUAAAAUCUUUAAAAAA